This 233-nucleotide unclassified non-coding RNA is filed under the name plant metagenome. RNAcentral describes it as "partial contains small subunit ribosomal RNA, internal transcribed spacer 1, and 5.8S ribosomal RNA". The stretch from base 1 to 54 matches the Rfam family "Eukaryotic small subunit ribosomal RNA", at positions 1778 to 1831 of the family's 1831-position model. The record is from RNAcentral.
GGAAGUAAAAGUCGUAACAAAGUUUCCGUAGGUGAACCUGCGGAAGGAUCAUUCAUGAUAAAGUGUUUUAUGGCACUUUUUAAAAAUCCAUAUCCACCUUGUGUGCAAUGUUAGAUCUCGUCAAUCUUGGCGAGAUUUUUAUACAUCAACUCAUUUUUUAACUAAUUUGUCUGAAAAAUAUUAAGAAUACUUAAUUCAAAAUACAACUUUCAACAACGGAUCUCUUGGCUCUC